This 484-nucleotide ribosomal RNA is filed under the name uncultured bacterium. RNAcentral's name for it is "partial 16S ribosomal RNA". It matches the Rfam family "Bacterial small subunit ribosomal RNA", at positions 30 to 507 of the family's 1533-position model. The record is from RNAcentral.
AUUGAACGCUGGCGGCAUGCCUAACACAUGCAAGUCGAACGGCCGCGCGGGCUUCUGUCUUGUGGGGAGUGGCGAACGGGCGAGUAAUUCAUCGGUGCGUGCCCAGCAGUUGGGGAUAGCCUGACUUCAGGCUGCUUAAUCCCGCACCCGACAUGAGUGUGAAACCGUGGGUUCGAAAGGCCUCGCGGUACUUGCGCUCCCUAUGUCGGAUUACCUAGUUGGUGGGGUAAAGGCGUACCAAGGCGACGAACCGUAGCUGCUCUGAGAGGACGACCUGGCACACUGGAACUGAGACACGGCCCAGACUCCUACGGGAGGCAGCAGUGGGGAAUUUUCGACAAUGGGCGCAACCCUGACCCAGCCAUGCCGCGUGCGGGAAGAAGGCCUUCGGGUUGUAAAACGCUUUUGUUCGGGAAGAACUCCUCUGGGCUAAUACCCCCGGGUGUUGACGGUACCGAAUGAGAAAGCACCGGCUAACUACGUG